AACGAACGCUGGCGGCAUGCCUAACACAUGCAAGUCGAACGGAUCCUUCGGGAUUAGUGGCGCACGGGUGCGUAACGCGUGGGAAUCUGCCCUGGGGUACGGAAUAACUCAGCGAAAGUUGUGCUAAUACCGUAUGAUGUCUUCGGCCCAAAGAUUUAUCGCCCUGGGAUGAGCCCGCGUAGGAUUAGCUAGUUGGUCAGGUAAAGGCUCACCAAGGCGACGAUCCUUAGCUGGGCUGAGAGGAUGACCAGCCACACUGGGACUUGGACACGGCCCAGACUCCUACGGGAGGCAGCAGGGGGGAAUAUUGGACAAUGGGCGCAAGCCUGAUCCAGCAGUGCCGCGUGAGUGAUGAAGGCCUUAGGGUUGUAAAGCUCUUUUACCCGGGAAGAUAAUGACUGUACCGGGAGAAUAAGCCCCGGCUAACUCCGUGCCAGCAGCCGCAGUAA
RNAcentral lists this ribosomal RNA (449 nucleotides) under uncultured bacterium. RNAcentral describes it as "partial 16S ribosomal RNA". It matches the Rfam family "Bacterial small subunit ribosomal RNA", at positions 29 to 523 of the family's 1533-position model. The record is from RNAcentral.